AUUUCACGCUAAAAAAGCAAAACCUUCUCGAUUGAUUUAAAAUGUGAUUUUGAACAAGUAGUGCCAACUUUAACAUUUGAAUAUUAUAUGUUUAUAUGUAUGUAUUGUUAUACCUGACUGCGCAAAGAUCGCGCGCAGGUUCCAUAUUGUAUUCAGGAUUGUAGCCAAUCAACGAGCGGUAUUAACGCUAUAAUAACAGAAGACGGGUAUCGUACAUUCGUCCUUUCGGUUCGGAUGUGGUAAGAUGUACCAUCGUGCAGAAGAUAUAAUUUCGUACCUGCCACGCGUAUAUCAGUUAGUAAUAAGUACUAAGUGAAGAAUUACGCAGUUAAUUUGUUAAAUUUUCGUCGAGCACAAAUACGAAAAUAUGUAAAAUGGUUCAUUGCUUUAUUCAGGAGCUUCCAAAGUCUUUGGGUCUCCAGAAACGUGCGGAUUUGAAACGAGCGAAGCAAACCUAUUCCUCUGUAAGGCAUAUCGUUAUAUAUCUACUUUUAUGCUGAAAUGCUAAAUAUUAUCCAGUCUUCGUCUUUUUGUAUAUCCAUUACCUCGACAUCGCCGCUACGAAGGAAAUAGUUUACUGAAGUAAAAGAUAAAAAUGUCAACAUUAUUGUGCCCUUGAAUAUGAAUGUUAUUUGAAUUACAAGGUCCAAAAUAAGAAGCUAUAAGUAGAUUUUUAUUACCGUCUCUUGUAACUUUCAGUUAGAAGAGUUACAUACCAAGGUUAAUUUUUUUGUACUGUUCUUUGUUGUAAACAUAUCAACACGCUUGCUAUCACCUUCACGCUCGAACAGAGAAAGUUAAGUAAACCUUUGUAAAUAUCUCGACAUCGCUCUUAAGAAUAUGAAAGAAAUUAGCAAUGUUAAAUGAAGGAAAUAUUUUGUUUUAUAAACAAGAUUUUAUUUUCCUGGUACAUGAGAUAAUUCACGGCAUGAUACUUAUUAAAUCGUUGAAUUACGAUUGCUACGUUCAUGGAAUGCCAAGUGGAAACUGUAGUUUUAAUUAUAAUAUAAAAGUGGA
Molecule: long non-coding RNA, 1017 nt
Organism: Bombus pyrosoma
Lineage: Eukaryota; Metazoa; Arthropoda; Insecta; Hymenoptera; Apidae
Exons: 3
Source: RefSeq, a predicted model, not a curated record